Ciona savignyi (Pacific transparent sea squirt) is the source of this 74-nucleotide non-coding RNA. NCBI's taxonomy places the organism in Eukaryota, Metazoa, Chordata, Ascidiacea, Phlebobranchia, Cionidae. The record is from Rfam.
GCCUCCAUGGCCCAGUAGGCAGCGCGUGAGUCUCAUAAUCUCAAGGGUCGUGAGUUCGAUCCUCACUCGGGGCA